This 377-nucleotide ribosomal RNA is filed under the name uncultured bacterium. Its description in RNAcentral is "bacterial SSU rRNA". It matches the Rfam family "Bacterial small subunit ribosomal RNA", at positions 523 to 898 of the family's 1533-position model. The record is from RNAcentral.
AUACGGAGGUUGCGAGCGUUGUUCGGAAUAACUGGGCGUAAAGGGAGCGCAGGCGGUUGGGCAAGUCUAAAGUGAAAGCCCGGGGCUCAACUCCGGAAGUGCUUUAGAUACUGCCUUACUCGAGUUCGUGAGAGGAAAGCGGAAUUCCAGGUGUAGCGGUGAAAUGCGUAGAUAUCUGGAGGAACACCGGUGGCGAAAGCGGCUUUCUGGCACGAUACUGACGCUGAGGCUCGAAAGCGUGGGGAGCAAACAGGAUUAGAUACCCUGGUAGUCCACGCUGUAACCGUUGUGCACUAGGUGUGGGAGGUAUCGACCCCUUCCGUGCCGCAGCUAACGCAUUAAGUGCACCGCCUGGUGAGUACGGUCGCAAGACUGAA